RNAcentral lists this ribosomal RNA (498 nucleotides) under uncultured bacterium. Its description in RNAcentral is "bacterial SSU rRNA". It matches the Rfam family "Bacterial small subunit ribosomal RNA", at positions 899 to 1397 of the family's 1533-position model. The record is from RNAcentral.
ACUCAAAGGAAUUGACGGGGACCCGCACAAGCGGUGGAGCAUGUGGUUUAAUUCGACGCAACGCGAAGAACCUUACCUGCUCUUGACAUCCUCUUGACCGGUCCGUAAUGGGACCUUCCCUUCGGGGCAAGAGUGACAGGUGGUGCAUGGUUGUCGUCAGCUCGUGUCGUGAGAUGUUGGGUUAAGUCCCGCAACGAGCGCAACCCCUAUCUUUAGUAGCCAGCAGUUCGGCUGGGCACUCUAGAGAGACUGCCAGGGAUAACCUGGAGGAAGGUGGGGAUGACGUCAAAUCAUCAUGCCCCUUAUGAGCAGGGCUACACACGUGCUACAAUGGCGUAAACAAAGAGAAGCAAAGUCGCGAGGCCGAGCAAAUCUCAAAAAUAACGUCUCAGUUCGGAUUGUAGUCUGCAACUCGACUACAUGAAGCUGGAAUCGCUAGUAAUCGCAAAUCAGAAUGUUGCGGUGAAUACGUUCCCGGGUCUUGUACACACCGCCCGU